CUCGCAUUCUGCGUUAUUCAAAACUUUAAAGAAAUAAAAUUGGAAAACAUUUCAUAAAAAUAAAUCCAAAUCACUUAUUCACCGGAUUUCCAUAGGCUCGUUGCAUCACUCUCCAUCUUCUCCUCCAUCCAUGCCCGAGGUAGAAAUCCUUCAAUCUGUAGAGAUAGGAUUAGACCCAUGAGUUGAAAAAUUCAAUAGGUGCCAUAGGUGCAUUCGUGAUCAAGCUAUACAUUUCAAAAUAUUAACUUUAUAACUUUUCAUACAUGUCAUACCCGGAGGCACCAUUUGACAUGAAGGGGUAUGCCGUACCCAAGGGCACCAUUUGACAUAUGAACAUUUCUUCAACAUAGAGGGGUAUGCCGUAACGGAGUACCAUUUGACAUACAAACAUUAACAUGAAUCGAAACUUAUAACUUAACACGAUUAAACACAUUGCACCUCUGUCUACCUUGAUUGAUGCUUUUGAAACUUUGAAAACUUCGAUUGAGAACUUCGAUGAAAUUUGAACGUUGAAAGAAAUGCACUCCUUAGAUGUUUGAAAACCGUUGAGAAUUGAUGCUUGUAAACACUUCUUAAAUUUCUAGGAAAAAUAGUUUUCCUCCCUCUCUUUUUCUCUCUUGGAAACUCUUUUUUUAGUAUAUAAAAGCUCUUGCUUUUGGUGUGAGAAAAAAUGAGUGAAAUGAGGUCUCUAUUUAUAGGUAAAUAAUCCAUAACUUAAAGCAAAUGAAGGGUCAAAUUUCAUUUAAGAAAGAAAACAUGAGUAUCAUUUAAGUUUGAGGUUAAAUACUUCAAUUUAGUGGGGGUUUUUUAUUGCCAAAAACGUGAGUGGCCCUUUAAGAAAAUAAUUGAUGAAAAUAAAUAUUUAAAUUCUAGUGAAAAACGAGAAUUUUUAUUUAAGGCAGUUUCGGUCGAUCGGUUGUAGUCCGGUAGACACUGUACAGUUUUCAAUGUUUCAAUCAUAACUUCUUUUCCCGAUAUCCGAUUGAGGUAAUUCAAAGUGUGUUGGAAAGCUAACUCAAAGAGCUAUAACUUUUAUUUAGAUAUAAUUUUCCAAAUCAAAUGUUUCCUAUGUCGAAAAUCAGUCUCAAAUGAGACUAAAAAUUUGAAGUAUAUUUUAGUCAUCCAAUAUUCAUAUCUUAGUGCCACUAAAGUGUCUAGAAUUAUUUGGGGUUCUACAUCCCCCACACCUUAAUUAAAAUUUCGUCCUAGAAAUUUACCUUCUAAUUGGGCGAAUAGUAUUGGAUACUUAUCUUUAGCUUCUUCUUCUUUUUCCCAAGUGGCUUCUUCUACGCCGUGAUGAUUCCACUGUAUCUUAACCAGCUGAAUCUCUUUAUUCCUUAGUUUAUGCACUUUUCGAUCCAAUAUCUUGAUUGGUAGUUCCUCGUACGACAAAUCUUUCUGUACCUCCAAGGUUUGAUAACUCACUACAUGAUUAGAAUCAUGUACAUACUUCUUUAUCAUCGAUAUAUGGAACACAUUGUGCACUGCCGAUAAUUCAGGUGGCAAAGCUAGUCGGUAAGCCACAUUUCCGACUCUAUCAAGUAUCUCUAAAGGUCCGAUAUACGGGGGGUCAUAGCUUGCCUUUCUUUCCAAAUCUAAGUACACCUUUCAUCGGUGCUACUUUCAGAAACACUUUAUCCCCAACUUGGAAUUCUAAAUCCUUCCUUCUUGUAUCUGUAUAGCUCUUUUGUCGAUCCUGUGCUGCCUUUAUUCUUGCACGGAUCUUAUCGAUUAUCUCGACCGUCCUUUCAACUGUUUCUGGUCCUAAAACUCUCUUCUCUCCGACUUCAUCCCAAUGAACAGGGGAUCUACAUCUUCUACCAUAGAGAGUUUCGUAUGGUGCCAUUCCAAUAGUUGCUUGGAGACUGUUAUUAUAAGCGAACUCUACUAAAGGUAAGUAUGACUCCCAAUUACCUCCUAGAUCCAAAUCACAUGCUCUCAGCAUGUCUUCCAAAGUUUGGAUGGUCUUUUCAGACUGACCAUCGGACUGAGGGUGAUAUGUUGUACUAAAGUUCAACUUCGUUCCCAUAGCUCCUUGUAGACUUUUCCAAAAUUUAGACGUGAACCUUAGGUCUCUGUCAGACACAAUGGAUACAGGUACACCGUGUAAUCUCACAAUCUCUUUAAUGUACAACUGUGCUAAUUGGUCUAAAUUGAAUGUCAUUUUCACUGGAAGAAAAUGAGCUGACUUCGUUAGUCGAUCCACUACUACCCAUAUAGCAUUAUUUCCUCUUGUUGACUUCGGGAAUCCAACCACAAAGUCCAUCGUGAUAUUUUCUCAUUUCCAUUCAGGUAUAUCUAGUGGAUUUAACAAUCCAGCUGGUUUUUGGUGUUCUGCCUUAACCUGUUGACAUACCAUGCACUUCUGCACGUACAGCCCUAUACUUCUUUUCAUAUUUCUCCACCAAAAUGUAUCUCGAAGAUCUCGAUACAUUUUCGUAUCACCGAGAUGUGCGGUGUACGUGGUGGAAUGAGCUUCUUUCAAUAUCUCGUUUCUCAAGGCUUCAUCCUUAGGCACGUAAAUUCGUCCUCUAAAUAUCAGUGUCUGAUCCUCAGCUAUUUCAAAGUCCUUUUUCUUAUCGGUACCAACUUCAUUCUUAAUCUUUUGCAAAAAUGAGUCUUUAUUUUGUGCUUCUAUAAUUCGAUCUCUAAGAGUAGGUCGAAUUAUUAAAGUUGUUGGACGAGUAGUGACUUGUCCUGGUGUGGUAACUACUUUGAUCUGCAACUUUUCCAAGUCCUUGACUAACUCCACUUGAGAGGUGGGUAGUGACGUCAAUUGUCCCAUUGAUUUUCUACUUAGAGCGUAGGCCACAACAUUAGCUUUACCCGAAUGGUAGUGAAUAGUGCAGUCGUAAUCGUUCACCAAUUCCAACCAUCGUCUUUGUCGUAUAUUCAAUUCCUUCUGUAUGAAGAAAUACUUGAGACUUUUGUGAUCUGUGUAGAUAUCACACUUCCGUCCAUAUAAGUAAUGUCGUCAUAUCUUCAAAACGUGUACUACCGCUGCAAGUUCUAAAUCAUGCGUCGGGUAAUUCUGCUCACGUUUUUUCAAUUGUCUUGAAGCAUAAGCUAUCACUUUUCCAUUCUGCAUUAGUACACAUCCCAAUCCUCGCUUGGAUGCGUCGCUGUGUAUAACAAACCCUUCCGUACCUUCAGGUAUUGUUAAUACAGGUGCUGAUAUCAACUUCUGCUUAAGUCUCUGGAAACUUUGUUCGCAUUUUUCCGUCCAUUGGAAUUUUACUCCCUUCCUUGUAAGCUGCGUCAUUGGUUCAGCUAUUUUGGAGAAUCCUUCUGUGAAUCUCCUAUAAUAUCCAGUCAAUCCUAGAAAAUUUCGUAUAUCGCUAGCAUUUGUUGGUGCUUUCCAGUUGGUUACUGCUUCUACUUUUGCUAGAUCCACUUCAAUCCCUUGGGCAGUAACUACAUGUCCAAGAAAUCCAACUCGUUCAAGCUAAAACUCGCACUUCUUGAAUUUGGCAUAUAGCUUCUCCUUGCGUAAUACCUCUAAAGCUAUUCUCAAGUGCUCUUCAUGUUGCUCCUUACUCUUGAAAUAUAUCAGAAUGUCACCAAUGAAAACUAUGACAAACUUAUCCAAGUAUUGAUGAAACACUCGAUUCAUCAAGUCCAUGAAAACUGUAGGUGCAUUGGUUAGCCCAAACGGCAUCACCGUAAACUCGUAGUGUCGAUAUUGAGUUCUAAAAGUUGUCUUAGGUAUAUCCUUUGUCUCUACUUUCAGUUGAUAGUAUCCCGAUCGUAAGUCGAUCUUGGAAAAUACCUUAGCUCCUUUCAGAUGAUCUAACAGAUCCUCGAUCCUCGGGAGUGGGUACUUAUUCUUGAUGGUUAAUCGAUUUAUCUCCCUAUAAUCGAUGCACAUCCUCAUGCUUCCAUCUUUCUUCUUUACAAACAAUACCGGCGCACCCCAUGGAGAUACGCUUGGUCGUACAAAGCCCAUAUCUAGGAAUUCUUGCAACUGCUUCUUUAAUUCUUGUAGUUCCUUUGGGGCCAUUCGGUAUGGGGCCUUAGAUACUGUUGCUGCCCCUGGAAUUAGGUCUAUGGUGAAUUCCACUUGUCUAUCAGGUGGAAUACCAGAUAGAUCUUCUGAAAACACAUCUACGAAUUUUCGUACUACUGGUACAUCUUCAACCCUUAUCGUCUCUUGUUUCCCUCAUGAGAUACCUACUAGAUAUCCUUGACAUAUUUCUUUUCUCAAUAUCUUCUCAACUUGUAAAGCCGAUACUAGUCGAAUAAGGGGUUUUGUCUUCAUUCCAAGGAACGAAAAUGGUUCCUCUCCUGGUUUCUGAAAUGAUACUUCCAUUUCCUUACAUCGGAUGGUGGCGUAAUUACAACCUAACCAAUCCAUGCCUAGUAUUACAUCAAAAUCCUUCAUUUCUAUCAUAUAUAGGUUCACUUCCAUUGGUUUUCCCUCAACUUCGAUACUUACUGACUUGGCUAUUCUAUUAGUAUUCAAAGGGUUGCCCGAAGGAAUACUAACUUCUAUUGUACCUUCCGACUUAUCACAGGUAAUACUAAAUUUAGCCAUAAAAGUUGUUGAAGCAAAGGAGUGUGUAGCUCCUGAAUCAAACAAUACAUAAGCAGGUGUAUUGGCUAUUAGUAAAGUACCUGCUAUAACAUUAGAGUUUUCCUCUGCAUCCUGUUGAGUCAAUGCAAAAACUCGUGCUUUCCCUUUCUGGUUAUGGUCGCUGUUAUCAUCCUUCUUCUGGAUAUGUGUGGGACAAUCCCUAAUGAUAUGUCCUGGCUUGCCACAUCGGAAAUAGACAUUUUUCCUUUGUAAGCACUCGCCAUGAUGUGUCCUUCCACACUUAGAACAAGGCGCAAUAACAGGCACAAUGCUUUUACUGGCAUUGGCUCCGCCAUUAGCUUUCUUGUUCUGCCACUUGCCUUUUCCCUUGUCUUGGCCAUUCCAUUUCCUCUUUCCCAUGUUACCAUUGUCCGGUUGAUUGAACAGUUGACCAUGUUGUUCGGUGCUAGUCUUCUGGUACCAAAUAGCAUGAGCUCUUUCCAGCAUUUCACAGUAUGUGGUGAACGAUGGGACAUAAGUAUCAUGCUUAUAUCCAAGUUCAGCCAUUGUUCAAACCUUCGUACCUUCGUACCUUCUUAUCUUCCGUAUCCACCAAAUGUGGAGCAUACCUUGAAAGUUGAUCAAACUUCCUCUCAUACUCAGUCAGGGACAUAGUCUUUUGCUUGAGUUGGAGGAAUUCACUUUCUUUGUGAUCCCUCAAGGACUGGGGAAAGUACUUGUCCAUUACUUCCCCUUUGAAUUGCUCCUAAGUUAAUUCUGCUUGUUGCUCGGGGGUCCUUGUCCUUGACAUUGAGUCCCACCAGUGACUUGCAUCACCGAAGAACAUGAACUCAGCACACUGGACUUUCUGAGCGUCCGUGCACCCUAUCAAUCAGAAUAUACGCUUCAACUUGCGAAGCCACUCCUUGGCUGCAAGUGGAUCAGCUGCUCCGUUGAAGGUAGGGGGCUUGUGCNNNNNNUUUUAUUUCUUGACAUAUGGGAAGCUAUUACAAGGAUUUAAAUCUAAUCCCUAUAAGUUCUACGGAUCUUCUUUGGUGGAGCUUCAUCUUCGGAGGAGUCUUCCGCCUCAGGUCCGGACUCUAUGUCCAUCUCAAUCUGUGGCUCAAGCUUAGGAUCAUUCUCUAAAUUAUCCUUGGGUUCUUCUUCGGGAUCUUCUUCCUCAGCCAAAGGUUCCUCCUCAGGCUCCUCAUGGACUAUAUCAUCCCACAAAUCAAUCAGGGCAUGGCAAUACCUCUCAAACUCGAACAAGUUUGGGUUGCCUUCUAACAUUUCAUCCCUAACCGUGACUCCCAUAUCUCCCCAUUGAGGUGGGAGGGAGUGUAUGAGGUUAUUUAUGGCCUCAAUAUGCGUGAUCUCCAUACCAACAUUAAUCGCCGUCAUGCAUCUCUCAUAGAUGUCAUACACAUGUUCGCUAAGUGGUCGGGUCGGAUCAGUUACAUAGUUUUCAUAGGAAUGAAUAGCAAUUCUACGGUUCAAUGCUUCUCUAUAUGCCCUAGCCGUUCUACGAGCCAUAUCUGUUGCAUUUUCACAUACAUCAUACUUUUUCUUUGCUUAAAGAAAACAUGCAAAUAUUUAAACUUUCAUAUCAUGCAAUUCCCUUUAAGCCCUUAGCUUUUGCCCAAGUCCAUUACAUAUCUUUAAAUAAUACAUCUCUAAAUUAUAUCAAAGUAUCAUAAUAUAAACAUAAUCAUUAACUUUAAACAUAAACAUACCUGGGCCAUAGGAUGAGGUUGAUGGAUGGAUACACAAUACCAUGGAAUACCUUAAACUUUUCAUUUUCUUUUUUGUUUUUAAAAAAAAUAUACUUGGUCUACAGAACCGGCACAACCUUGCUCUGAUACCCCGUUAAAACGCCCCGACCCCUAGUGGACCGGAACGCUACUUACUUUACUUAGCUUAACCGGUGGUUUAGUAACAAGUGUAUACGUUUUAGCGGAAGCUUACAUCUUCGGAUAAUAAUUUAAAUAACAAUACUUCAAAUACUUUAAACGAAAACACUAAAUCAUUUUUUUAAAACAACAAAAUGUAAUUUAUUUGAAGAAAAUAUAACUUGUUCUCGCAUUCUGCGUUAUUCAAAACUUUAAAGAAAUAACAUUGGAAAACAUUUCAUAAAAAUAAAUCCAAAUCACUUAUUCACCGGAUUUUCAUGGGCUCGUUGUAUCACUCUCCAUCUUCUCCUCCAUCCAUGCCCAAGGUAGAAUUCUUUCAAUCUGUAGAGAUGGGAUUAAACCUGUGAGUUGAAAAACUCAAUAGGUGUUAUAGGUGCAUUCGUGAUCAAACUAUACAUUUCAAAAUAUUAACUUUAUAACUUUUCAUACAUGCCGUACCUGGAGGCACCAUUUGACAUGAAGGGGUAUAUCGUACCCGAGGGCACCAUUUGACAUACGAACAUUUCUUCAACAUAGAAGGGUAUGCCGUACCGGAAUACCAUUUGACAUACAACCAUUAACAUAAAGGGAUAUGCCGUACUGGAGUACCAUUUGAUAGACAAACAUUAACAUUAAUCGAAACUUAUAAUUUAACACGAUUAAACACAUUGCAUCUCUACCUACCUUGAUUGAUGCUUUUGAAACUUUCAAAACUUGAAUUGAAAACUUCGAUGAAACUUGGACGUUGAAAGAAAUGCACUCCUUGGAUGUUUGAAAACCGCUUAGAAUUGAUGCUUGGAAACACUUCUUAAACUUCUAGGAAAAAUAGUUUUUCUCCCUCUUUUUUUCUCUCUUGGAAACUCUUUCUUUAAUAUGUAAAAGCUCUCGCUUUUGGUGUGAGAAAAAAGAGUGAAAUGAGGUCUCUAUUUAUAGGUAAAUAUUCCAUAACUUAAAGCAAAUAAAGAGUCAAAUUUCAUUUAAGAGAGAAAACAUGGGUGCCAUUUAAGUUUGAGGUUAAAUGCUUCAAUUUAGUAGGGUUUUUUUAUUGCCAAAAACGUGGGUGGCCCUUUGAGAAAAUAAUUGAUGAAAAUAAAUAUUUAAAUUCUAGAGAAAAACGAGAAUUUUCAUUUAAGGUAGUUUCGGUCGACCGGUUGUAGUCCGAUUGACAAUGCACAAUUUUCAGUGUUUCUAUCAUAACUUCUUUUCCCGAUAUCCGAUUGAGGUAAUUCAAAGUGCGUUGGAAAGCUAACUCAAAGAUCUACAACUUUUAUUCAGAUAUCAGUUUCCAAAUUGAAUGUUUUCUAUGUCAAAAAUUAGUCUCAAAUGAGACUAAAAAUCUGAAGUAUACUUUAGUCAUCCAAUAUUCAUGUCUUAGUGCCACUAAGGUGUUUAGAAUUAUUUGGGGUUCUACACGAUGUCGUUGGAUUGGAGAUGGGUGACGACGACACUUCUUCUAUAUAUAUAUAUAUAUAUAUAUAUAUAUAUAUAUAUAUAUAUAUAAUAAGUUCUGAUUGUGAAAUACUAAACAUGCCAUCUGAUUCAUGAAAUGGAAAUUUCAAAUCUAUUAGAAUAUGUAAUUUCCACUUAAAAAUAGUACUCGGUUGUCCAACUGCAGCAGAUUUUUAAUUCUUUCUUUUUUUGUUCAAAAGAAGUGGGAAAAAUCUGAAUCGAUGAGACCACCUAAAAAGGGGAGAAACUUGUGUUGCGAUUAAGUGCACAAUUAUGUGCAAACAUGGCGUAAAAUUGUCUAUGAUACAAUGACUAUAUUCUCACCCACAAGACUACGAAGUAGACUACCCAAAGAGUGAGUCACUUUGUGUAAGCAACAGUAAAAUCCAAUCGACAAAUCCAACAAACAUAUAACUAUAUACAUACAUGCAUACGUUAUAAAUACACACAGAGAGAUACUUGGGAGUUCCCAUCUUCAUUUUCUUGGUUCUUGAUAAAAAAUAAAAAAUAAAAAACCUUUGUCGAAGCUUUGUCGAAUCGCUUUGGCGCUAGGCAAUGGUUAAUUCUUAUACCAGCCACUAAGAAAGUGCGGCAAUUACAUUAAUAUCCCUACCUUAUUCGGUUCCAUGUCGCAUUUCCAAGGGUUUUCCUAAAGGGCUUGCUGUUUUUCUUCAUUUCAUUUUACACCAUAAAAAAUUGAUUGCAAGGAAUUUGAAUGAAUAGUUUUAUUUGUUCGUCAAAGUUGAUAAUAUAUUGCUGUGAAACCAUUGAAUAACUCUUUUAUAAAGAAAAUUGGUUGACGCAAUCGCAACAAUGAAAUAUGUAUUUCUUGUAAAUUUCAUUUUAUAUAAUUUCAAGAUGUCUAUGUUCAACACUUUUUACUUGUAGUUAUUAUUUUUGGUUUUUUACUUAUAUUUUUGUUGAACAAGUGAUCCCCUGAAUUUUUACAGUCAACACAUACAUAUUAGUCAACAUAUGACGGGAUUUGCAUGUGCAACUAAUAAAACUUAUAAGUCUUAGAAUAUUAAAAUUUUCGACCUGGAAGUGUGCGGGCUUUUCAUGUGUUACAAAACUUGUAGUCGAUUUUUGUAGACUAGCAAGAUGCAAUUUACUUGGGCAUCAUUUUUUAUUCAUAAAAUUCUAAAUCAAAAACUUGGAAUGGGUCGAUACUUUCGAUUAAGGAUGUCAAAACCAGCCAUAUCGAUUAUGUAGGUAGGUAGCUCGAUCUAUGUAAGGGCUUUAAUUGACACGAUCCUUAUAUGAUCUAUGAUAUUUUAUUUGAUACUUGUUCAUUUGAAUUUAUUAUUAUUAUUAUUAUUUUUAAAUAUGAAAAGCGGCUAUGCAAAUUCGGGCUUAAAGGUUUAACUCACAAGGUUUUUGCUCUGAUGAACUCUCAAAACAAUUUAUUAGGAAAAAAAUAACAAAAUAUAAUGUUUAUCUAGUUGAGAAACAUGUAUGAAAAUAUAGAUAAAAUCAAGCAAACAAAACUUUGAAUCUAAUUACAUUAUAGUAUUAUUUUAUUCAAUUGGGUGACCCAAUUUUGGCUACUUGCCUCUCGAAAUUUCUUGGAAAAUAAUAAUCUAACCAAAUCAUAGCCAAUUCAUAACUGCUGUAAACAACAUCACAUAAAGUAAUUUGAUACAUUACACAACAAUCUUUGAUGUUAUUAUUUGAGAAGCCUUUAAAAAAGUUAAUUAGACCCCUCAAAUGCUCAUCACACUCUGAACGACUUGAUCUAACAAAUCGAUACUAGAUUUAUUGAUAAUAAGAUUUAAUUUUACAUAUAACAGUCUUUAUCAAAUAACUAGUACAUCAGACCGUACCUUGAUUUAAUUUGAUUUCUUAAUCGGAACCAAGCUUGCGGUCGAGGAAGUAAUCGCUUUGGUGUUGAUGGUGGUGAUUUUGGGCUGUUUUGGCUCGUCUGAUUCAUCGGUAUUUCGGGAUUUCACCAGAGGGAUUUGCUGUUGAGUAGCAAUGUCUCGGCCGGCGAACUUUUGAGGAGGAAAGAAGAAAUCAGUGGGGAAGAAUUUGUACUGAAGUCCAGCCAUGGGUGUAUAGAAAUGAGAUAUUUGUGUU
Molecule: long non-coding RNA, 9927 nt
Filed under: Olea europaea (common olive)
Lineage: Eukaryota; Viridiplantae; Streptophyta; Magnoliopsida; Lamiales; Oleaceae
Description: long non-coding RNA (OEUR_LNC003240)
Source: RNAcentral